This 253-nucleotide ribosomal RNA is filed under the name uncultured bacterium. Its description in RNAcentral is "partial 16S ribosomal RNA". It matches the Rfam family "Bacterial small subunit ribosomal RNA", at positions 524 to 776 of the family's 1533-position model. The record is from RNAcentral.
GACGUAGGGUGCGAGCGUUGUCCGGAUUUAUUGGGCGUAAAGAGCUCGUAGGCGGCUCGUCGCGUCGACCGUGAAAACCCGCGGCUUAACUGCGGGCUUGCGGUUGAUACGGGCGGGCUAGAGUUCGGUAGGGGAGACUGGAAUUCCUGGUGUAGCGGUGAAAUGCGCAGAUAUCAGGAGGAACACCGGUGGCGAAGGCGGGUCUCUGGGCCGAUAUAGACGCUGAGGAGCGAAAGCGUGGGGAGCGAACAGG